CGACCGGACUGAGCGGCCGCGUGAUAUGUUGCCGAAAGGUAUUAUCAUGAGGAAAGUCCGGGCUUCACAGGGCAGGAUAACGGAUAACAUCCGCCGAAGGUGACUUCCGGGAUAGUGCAACAGAAAUAGACCGCCGCAGAAAUGCGGUAAGGAUGGAAAGGCGAGGUAAGAGCUCACCGUCGCCG
Molecule: non-coding RNA, 185 nt
Filed under: Candidatus Apopatosoma intestinale
Lineage: Bacteria; Bacillati; Bacillota; Clostridia; Eubacteriales
Description: Ruminococcus sp. CAG:724 Bacterial RNase P class A
Rfam family: Bacterial RNase P class A
About the family: Ribonuclease P (RNase P) is a ubiquitous endoribonuclease, found in archaea, bacteria and eukarya as well as chloroplasts and mitochondria.
Source: Rfam by way of RNAcentral